RNAcentral lists this ribosomal RNA (200 nucleotides) under uncultured bacterium. RNAcentral describes it as "partial 16S ribosomal RNA". It matches the Rfam family "Bacterial small subunit ribosomal RNA", at positions 30 to 230 of the family's 1533-position model. The record is from RNAcentral.
AUUGAACGCUGGCGGCAGGCCUAACACAUGCAAGUCGAGCGGUAGAGAGGUGCUUGCACCUCUUGAGAGCGGCGGACGGGUGAGUAAUGCCUAGGAAUCUGCCUGGAAGUGGGGGAUAACGCUCGGAAACGGACGCUAAUACCGCAUACGUCCUACGGGAGAAAGCAGGGGACCUUCGGGCCUUGCGCUAUCAGAUGAGC